AGAGUUUGAUCAUGGCUCAGGAUGAACGCUAGCUACAGGCUUAACACAUGCAAGUCGAGGGGCAGCAUUUCAGUUUGCUUGCAAACUGGAGAUGGCGACCGGCGCACGGGUGAGUAACACGUAUCCAACCUGCCGAUAACUCGGGGAUAGCCUUUCGAAAGAAAGAUUAAUACCCGAUGGCAUAAUUAGACCGCAUGGUCUUAUUAUUAAAGAAUUUCGGUUAUCGAUGGGGAUGCGUUCCAUUAGGCAGUUGGUGAGGUAACGGCUCACCAAACCUUCGAUGGAUAGGGGUUCUGAGAGGAAGGUCCCCCACGAUUGGAACUGAGACACGGUCCAAACUCCUACGGGAGCA
This 352-nucleotide ribosomal RNA is filed under the name uncultured bacterium. RNAcentral's name for it is "bacterial SSU rRNA". It matches the Rfam family "Bacterial small subunit ribosomal RNA", at positions 8 to 349 of the family's 1533-position model. The record is from RNAcentral.